RNAcentral lists this ribosomal RNA (582 nucleotides) under Debaryomyces fabryi. RNAcentral describes it as "LSU rRNA". It matches the Rfam family "Eukaryotic large subunit ribosomal RNA", at positions 70 to 669 of the family's 3401-position model. The record is from RNAcentral. Lineage: Eukaryota; Fungi; Ascomycota; Pichiomycetes; Serinales; Debaryomycetaceae.
ARAAAWUKCCUUARGUACGGCGAGUGAGCGGCAAAAGCUCAAAUUUGAAAUCUGGCACCUUCGGUGUCCSAGUUGUAAUUUGAAGAAGGUAACUUUGGAGUUGGCUCUUGUCUAUGUUCCUUGGAACAGGACGUCACAGAGGGUGAGAAUCCCGUGCGAUGAGAUGCCCAAUUCUAUGUAAAGUGCUUUCGAAGAGUCGAGUUGUUUGGGAAUGCAGCUCUAAGUGGGUGGUAAAUUCCAUCUAAAGCUAAAUAUUGGCGAGAGACCGAUAGCGAACAAGUACAGUGAUGGAAAGAUGAAAAGAACUUUGAAAAGAGAGUGAAAAAGUACGUGAAAUUGUUGAAAGGGAAGGGCUUGAGAUCAGACUUGGUAUUUUGCGAUCCUUUCCUUCUUGGUUGGGUUCCUCGCAGCUUACUGGGCCAGCAUCGGUUUGGAUGGUAGGAUAAUGACUAAGGAAUGUGGCUCUACUUCGGUGGAGUGUUAUAGCCUUGGUUGAUACUGCCUGUCUAGACCGAGGACUGCGUCUUUGACUAGGAUGCUGGCAUAAUGAUCUUAAGCCACCCGUCUUGAAACACGGACCCA